This 186-nucleotide ribosomal RNA is filed under the name uncultured bacterium. RNAcentral's name for it is "partial 16S ribosomal RNA". It matches the Rfam family "Bacterial small subunit ribosomal RNA", at positions 589 to 774 of the family's 1533-position model. The record is from RNAcentral.
AGGGGGUGAAAUCCUGCGGCUCAACCUCGGGCCUGCAGUGGGUACGGGCAGACUAGAGUGCGGUAGGGGAGAUUGGAAUUCCUGGUGUAGCGGUGGAAUGCGCAGAUAUCAGGAGGAACACCGAUGGCGAAGGCAGAUCUCUGGGCCGUAACUGACGCUGAGGAGCGAAAGCAUGGGGAGCGAACA